CAGUCGCCACGGUAAUACGAAGGGUGCAAGCGUUAAUCGGAAUUACUGGGCGUAAAGCGUGCGUAGGCGGUGAGUUAAGUCUGCUGUGAAAUCCCCGGGCUCAACCUGGGAAUGGCAGUGGAUACUGGCUCGCUAGAGUGUGUCAGAGGAUGGUGGAAUUCCACGUGCAGCAGUGAAAUGCGUAGAGAUGUGGAGGAAUACCGAUGGCGAAGGCAGCCCCCUGGGCCAAUACUGACGCUCAUGCACGAAAGCGUGGGGAGCAAACAGGAUUAGAUACCCCGGUAGUCCCUGUCUCUUAUAC
This 301-nucleotide ribosomal RNA is filed under the name uncultured bacterium. RNAcentral's name for it is "partial 16S ribosomal RNA". It matches the Rfam family "Bacterial small subunit ribosomal RNA", at positions 509 to 807 of the family's 1533-position model. The record is from RNAcentral.